GUCGAGCGGUAGAGAGAAGCUUGCUUCUCUUGAGAGCGGCGGACGGGUGAGUAAUGCCUAGGAAUCUGCCUGGUAGUGGGGGAUAACGUUCGGAAACGGACGCUAAUACCGCAUACGUCCUACGGGAGAAAGCAGGGGACCUUCGGGCCUUGCGCUAUCAGAUGAGCCUAGGUCGGAUUAGCUAGUUGGUGAGGUAAUGGCUCACCAAGGCGACGAUCCGUAACUGGUCUGAGAGGAUGAUCAGUCACACUGGAACUGAGACACGGUCCAGACUCCUACGGGAGGCAGCAGUGGGGAAUAUUGGACAAUGGGCGAAAGCCUGAUCCAGCCAUGCCGCGUGUGUGAAGAAGGUCUUCGGAUUGUAAAGCACUUUAAGUUGGGAGGAAGGGCAGUAAAUUAAUACUUUGCUGUUUUGACGUUACCGACAGAAUAAGCACCGGCUAACUCUGUGCCAGCAGCCGCGGUAAU
Molecule: ribosomal RNA, 468 nt
Filed under: uncultured bacterium
Lineage: Bacteria
Description: bacterial SSU rRNA
Rfam family: Bacterial small subunit ribosomal RNA
Source: RNAcentral